Molecule: small nuclear RNA, 164 nt
Filed under: Cervus elaphus hippelaphus
Lineage: Eukaryota; Metazoa; Chordata; Mammalia; Artiodactyla; Cervidae
Also listed under: 1 other name
Description: U1 spliceosomal RNA
Rfam family: U1 spliceosomal RNA
About the family: U1 is a small nuclear RNA (snRNA) component of the spliceosome (involved in pre-mRNA splicing). Its 5' end forms complementary base pairs with the 5' splice junction, thus defining the 5' donor site of an intron.
Source: Rfam by way of RNAcentral
AUACUUACCUGGCAGGGGAGAUACCAUGAUCACGAAGGUGGUUUUCCCAGGGCGAGGCUUAUCCAUUGCACUCUGGGUGUGCUGACCCCUGCGACUUCCCCAAAUGUGGGAAGUUCGACUGCAUAAUUUGGGGUAGUAGGGGGCUGCGUUCGCUCUUUCCCCUG